RNAcentral lists this ribosomal RNA (497 nucleotides) under uncultured bacterium. RNAcentral describes it as "partial 16S ribosomal RNA". It matches the Rfam family "Bacterial small subunit ribosomal RNA", at positions 28 to 507 of the family's 1533-position model. The record is from RNAcentral.
GAUGAACGCUGGCGGCGUGCCUAAUACAUGCAAGUCGAGCGAACGGACGAGAAGCUUGCUUCUCUGAUGUUAGCGGCGGACGGGUGAGUAACACGUGGAUAACCUACCUAUAAGACUGGGAUAACUUCGGGAAACCGGAGCUAAUACCGGAUAAUAUUUUGAACCGCAUGGUUCAAAAGUGAAAGACGGUCUUGCUGUCACUUAUAGAUGGAUCCGCGCUGCAUUAGCUAGUUGGUAAGGUAACGGCUUACCAAGGCAACGAUGCAUAGCCGACCUGAGAGGUUGAUCGGCCACACGGGACCUGAGACCCGGUCCAGACCCCUACGGGACGCAGCAGUAGGGAAUCUUCCGCAAUGGGCGAAAGACUGACGGGGCAGCGCCGCGUGAGUGAUGAAGGUCUUCGGAUCGCAAAGACCUGUUAUUAGGGAGGAACAUAUGUGUAAGUAAGUGUGCACAUCUUGACGGUGCAUAAUCAGAAAGCCACGGCUAACUACGUG